Molecule: microRNA precursor, 87 nt
Organism: Xenopus tropicalis (tropical clawed frog)
Lineage: Eukaryota; Metazoa; Chordata; Amphibia; Anura; Pipidae
Gene: xtr-mir-29a
Product: xtr-mir-29a
Source: Ensembl
ACCCUUUUAAAGGAUGACUGAUUUCUUCUGGUGUUCAGAGUCUUUUGUUUUCUAGCACCAUUUGAAAUCGGUUAUAAUGAUGGGGUA